RNAcentral lists this ribosomal RNA (100 nucleotides) under uncultured bacterium. RNAcentral describes it as "partial 16S ribosomal RNA". The record is from RNAcentral.
CACACCGCCCGUCACGUCAUGAGAGCUGUUUGUACCCGAAAUCAUCUUAGCUAACCUGUAAAGGGGGCGGAUGCUUAAGGUAUGGGGAGUGAUUGGGACG